AUGGGGAUACCCAACGAUGAGGUGGUGCAAAUCCGGCAAGCCGAUGCGGUCGGCGACCCGACCAUGGUCACAGUCAGCUGCCCCGACAAGAUCGGCCUGGGCUGUGACCUCUGCCGCAUCGUCCUCCUCUUGGGCCUCAACAUCCUCAAGGCCGGAGUCGGUGGACCAUGCAUGGCCUGGAACCUCCUCAAGGAGAGGCUGGUUGAGCUCUGCCCUGUGCCCGCGCUGUUUGGCAUUGACAUCUCCUACCUUGCUGCCGCCGGCCUCCUAGAUAACCACGUGCCCCAGGUCUUCUUGCUCAAAUUCUGCUGCUUCGACAGCAUGGGCCUCCUGCAUCACGUGACACGCGUCUUGUGCGAGAUGGAACUCACCAUUAUGAGAGUGAAGGUCUCCACUACGCCCGAUGGGAGAGUGAUGGACCUUUGCUUCAUCACAGAUGGCAGGGAACUUCCAUACACAAAGAGUAGGAAGGACGAGGCCUAUGAAAGGCUGCAGAACAUCUUGGGCGACUCCGUGACGAGUUGCGAAAUAGAGUCUGUGACAGAGGACAUGACAGAGGUCAUGGAACAAAUAUUGGGCGUAGAGGAGCAGUUGAGCUGCUCUUGCCUGUCGGUCACCAUGGCCAACUCCCUCAGCCCCGCGCACACCCUAAUCCAGAUGCAGUGCGGUCACCACAAGGGCCUCCUGUACGAUAUCUUGAGGACACUCAAGGACUGCAACAUCCAGAUCUCCUACGGCCGGUACUAUGUGGGGAGAAAGGGCGACUACGAGGUGGACCUGUUCGUGGUGCGCCCGAACGGGAAGAAGAUCAUCGAUGAGCUCGAGAAGAGCGCAUUGUGCUCCUGCCUACGGGUGGAGCUCCGACACCUGCUGCAUGUGGCGAUGGUGAACCGGGACCACAACACAGAGCUCCUAGUGGCAAACCCAGUGGAGGUCCCCGGGAAGGGUCGGCCUCUAGUGUUGCACGACAUAACCCUCAUUCUCAAGGACCUCGAGAAGCGCAUCUUCUUGAUCGGAAGGCAUGUGGUGGAUGACGGAGAGUGGGAGCUCACUUGUGCAAUGAGGAGUAGGAUCGUCGACAGUAUCACCAGCAUGCUCAUGGUUUGGGACUGA
RNAcentral lists this ribosomal RNA (1113 nucleotides) under Triticum aestivum (bread wheat). Its description in RNAcentral is "partial small subunit ribosomal RNA". The record is from RNAcentral. Lineage: Eukaryota; Viridiplantae; Streptophyta; Magnoliopsida; Poales; Poaceae.